UCUCUCUCUCUCUCUCUCUCUCUCUCUCUCUCUCUUUCUGCAGAUCUUCGUUUUCUCGCGUUUACGCUUUCGAGAGGUCUGCGCGUGCUUUCUCCAUACCCCGGUUUCUCGUUCCUCCUUCAGACGGGAUCUCCUUCCCUUUCUGUCAUCCCUCGUGGAUUUUAUACGGAAAAUGGAGGUAUUCCUUCGUAGAGGAAAGUUAGGUUCGGUCGAAGAACUUGGCCAAGUGGGCGGUGGGCGGAUGGUAAAUCUGCCUACAACGAGAGUAAAGGUGACAUUGCGAUAGAGAAUGACGAAGGAAGGCCGGCAGCUAGACCCGUCACCCCGCGCCGCCCGACAGAAUUUUCCCUAAAGGACCUUUUAGAGUUAAUUGAUCGUCUGAGCGAUAUACAUAUACGCGUGCCUUCGCGUACACUCCCGCGUAAUGCACCCUUAAUGGACGCGAACCUUUGCCCACGUACGCGAUCAAAGAACCCACCGCCGCCAAUGGUGUUCCAUCAUUGUCCGGUACAGCAUCGGAAUUUAACUAUACACCUUAGCUCGAACGUUGAUGCACUCCAUUUCUAUUCUCGCGUGCCCUUGUGAUCUGCUUCAGAGCAUUUAUCGAUUUACGAUGCCGACCAGUCGCAGGAUAUCCGGAGAGAGGAGAGGCUGUUUGAAAGAAAACGAGAAGAUUGAACGUGGGACCUCGGUUCCUUCUAUUUAACCCUAUCGUUAUAGAACGUAGCUAUAGUGAUCGUUCGCAGGGCCGAUAAAUCAGUCUUUAAUUAGAAUUCUAAAAAUUUUCAAUCAUUAAAGGUUUUUUUUUUUUUAUACCUACAUAUCUGUCGUCUGUACUCGAUGACACCGUUGCACAGUCCAGUGACGCUAUUUAAGCGAUUACUUAAAAUCAAUAGCGGUCGUUUAUAGCGCGCCAAUAAGCCAAUAGUAUAAUUCUUACCCAAACGAUGCUUUUCAUUCGGCACGUGAUUCUAUACUAUGAUAGUAGUGGGUUUUAUGGAUGAGCAGGCUCGAGGGUGGCCAGUGGCCGACUUCAGAACAAUCCUACCUAGUAACCCUUGCCUGGUCCCGUAAUGCUCCCUCGAAGCUGCAAGGGAAGAAGGCUGGUGAAUGACGAGGAAAAGGGAACAACAUUAACUAGGGGGGACCGUGCUAUCGCCUGCAGCUGGAUUUUUACCGAAUUGCUAUGGGCUCUAUCAGGAUUUGGCUGGGUCUUUACCUCUACCAGGUAGACACGCAUGCAGCACAAGCGUUAACACGAUUGUUUCACAGAUUUACAGUGUACGCCCGGCACCGUGGACAAGUAUGAUCGAGGAGCGAGAACUUAUCACCAGUGGUCAUUAAUUGCCGGCUACAAUACGUGUGUCCCGCCACAAUGUUAGUCGUAAUAUUUCACGAGCGAGCUACUUGCAACGCGUCUUUGCUCGAGAUAUAGGGGAACAAAUUCUUCGCCCAGCCUGCGGCAUAACUGGUGUGUACUGUGUUAUAACUGAUAUCAAGACGAAUUCAACGACCCCCUAUACCUUGACCUCGAAAUAACCUUGUGAAUAUAUGUGGAAUAUCACAUUUAUUUUUGGCACAGUGGGUACCUCAUUAGAUAUGCAUCUAAUUAAGCUUUCACGAGCUUUAUCUACUACUUAGAGGAGAGUCUAUACAACCUGGAACAAGUCACUUUUUUUUAAAACAUUUUUUUCCAAUUCCAAUCAACAAAUCUCUGUAUACCAUACACUUUUUGCAAUUAAUUUUUGAUUUUCAACAAGCGUUGGGAUUGUCGCAAAAUCAAAUAAAUAUCAAUUAUACGACUUUCGAAUUAAUUCGAAUUCAUUAUUGGACCAAUUAAUGGAUAGUUAGAACCUUUUUUGUUUUAGACAACAAUUUACUAUCUAUUUUUCUGUACACCCUAAGUUAACUUAUUUAUUUGAAGUAGCAAUUAUAUUAUAAUAAACAUUGUAUACAUAUAACUUUUGUCCGAAUAUAAAACAAAAUCUUUUAA
Long non-coding RNA from Osmia bicornis bicornis, 1993 nucleotides. RefSeq lists it as uncharacterized. Lineage: Eukaryota; Metazoa; Arthropoda; Insecta; Hymenoptera; Megachilidae. The transcript has 4 exons. The record is from RefSeq and is a predicted model, not a curated record.